ACAAAAAAAAAUAUCAACAAGUCUGGACACACACACUGGAUGCUACUUUUCUUUUGUCUCACAGAGCAAUAGGAACAAGGAAAGAAAAUUCUGCCUAAAAAUGCACUUCCAGGGAGGAAAAGGCCCCACAAAACAGAUACAAGCACAGGGGGUUGGAAGUUUAAUACAGAAAAUCUAUUUGAUAUUUAUUAAACUUAGUUUCUCCAGUUACAGUUUUGCAUUGUACAAAGCAUUUUAAUGACACAGUAGUUAAAAAGAUCUUUACAAAUUGAAAUGUGAUACCCUUUUCUCCAAAUAUUUUAAUUGCCAUAAAUUUGUUUAAAAAUACACAUUAAACGCAUGUUUCAGACACUAAACUUUCUAUAAUCUCAAUACCACAAAAUACAUAGAAUAUACUAUACAGAUGUGGAAAAAAUCUAGUUAGUAUAUAAUACUUUGCUCACCAUUAACAGCUUUAUUACGUGAAAUGCACAUACUGACUUAGAAAUCCUAAUUUUGAGCCCCAAAGUACCCUUUGAAAUUUCAAAUGUAUUGCAACAAAUAAAAUCACAGUUUGUUUCUAUUUUUUCUGGUUUUGGUUGAAGACAGAUGCCCAAAUCUUUUGAUAGAAAACAAAAUGUAACACAUGGACUUGUCAUGUACAAAGCAUAAAACAGAGACAUCCCAUUAGUUACUAAUAGUACCUUUCUGUAGGAUUAAUCAGGGCUUCAUUUAUAAGUGACAGGUUAAAAGUUACCUCCCCUCCCCAGCCCUCCCCCAAAAGAAAAACCCCUUCUUCACCAAAUAAUAAUUUCAAAUAAGAUAAAGGAUUUUUAAUAAAUAUAUAAGCACUUUAUCCUCCAUAUACAAAAUUUUUUUAAAACAAUUUAAAAGGGGGACCAGAUACAAAUGUCAGGAACUGUGCUUGGAAAGUCAUGCCUGGUCCUUGGAGUAGAGUUUGGGAUGUGGAAUGCCAAGGCAGUGCCAGGAGCCGGUGCUGGGACAGGGCUGGGGACUGGAGCCAGGCUGCCCCAGGAAGGGGCACACAGCCCAGGAAUUCAGCUCCAGGUGGGGGGAGACCAGGGGAAGCAUGGCCACAGCAGAGCCCAGAUCACACAGCCCCAGGAAUUCAGCUCCAGGUGGGAUGAAGCCAGGGCCACAGCAGAGCCCAGCUCACACAGCCCCAGGAAUUCAGCUCCAGGUGGGAUGAACCAGGGCCACAGCAGAGCCCAGCUCCCUGCGAGCUGCCUCGGCAGCUGGAGCUGCUCCCCUGCAGCCAGGGGAGCCCAGCCCGGGACCCCUUCCCUCCCCAGGGGCAGCCCAGCCCCAGAGCCUCGGACACAGCAGGAGCCACUGGCACCCCCUGCUCGGGAAGGCCCCUCUGAACAGCUCUGCAGCUGGGUGAGUUGGUGAGCAAAGCUCUGGCUCCUCUCUGUCCCUCAGGAUGCCCAGCACUGACCUCACUGCUCGGGAACAGGAGUUUUCCAGAACACUGACACAGCGCAGGGAGAAGGUUCAACCCUGACCCAAGGAUUUGUCGUGAAGGUAAGAAUUUGGAAGUUGUUUACUCCCCAAUGGGUAAUUCAAACUUGACUUGCUCAGGCCCUUGUGGAUCUGCCUCAAUGGAAACACUGCAGUGACAGCAAAGAUCUGUUCAGAAAAUGACAUUAAAUACAGCAAAGGUAGUUUCUCUCUCUCUCCAGCAGUUUGCCUUUUGGGCAAACUCCAUAAUUCUCUGCCUACGGCUUUAUUUUACUUGCCCCAGGCAAGUGCUACAUCAUUCCCAUAAAUUCUGACUCUCUGUGUCUUGGGGCCAUUCAUAAAUACAUUUCAGGGCAUUUUUUGUUACCACAGCAAUCAAGCCUCAGCAAUCUAAAGGAAUAUACAUUGCACUCCUGGAUAAUAUGCAAUAUUUAUCACCAAUAAGAUGGUGACUCAGCACUCAAUAAAUAAUAUAUCAAUAUAGUCAGUUGCACCAUAAUCUAAAAACAAGUAUAACAUAUACUUUGGACAGACUGAGUCAUAUAUAUAUACAUAUAUAUUAAAAGACACAUACAAUACAAAUUGCAUACUGCCAUCGAAGCCAAGGAGAGCCAUCCGUCUGCUCUGCUUUAUGGCUGAGAUUCAAAUCAAAACAAAACUCUUGGGCUGGUUUACUCUGGGGUCCUGAAGAUUUGUUUGGAAUUACAAAUGGUUUGCACCUUUAUCACCUGGAACCUGCAAGUCUGAGAGCAAAGUCAAACAGCACAGAUAGCUGAGCAAGCCUAGUCUGAUUGAGCCAUUUUUAAGAUUCACCAACUGGGGCCAUGAUCAGCAAGGGAAUUAAAUUACAGCAUUGAUAUGUAUUGAUCCAUAUUCCCUGUCCAGGGAAUCAUUUGGGAAGCCAGGAUUGGGGAGUCUCUCCUUAGUCACUCCUGUGACCUGCACUCCCCCUGUGGUGCUGGGAGCUGCCCAGGACAGGGACAGAGCCCUCCUGCUUUGGCAGAGGGAUGGAAGCCUAGGACUUAUUUGCUUUUUUUUUUUUUUGGCUA
Onychostruthus taczanowskii (white-rumped snowfinch) is the source of this 2510-nucleotide long non-coding RNA. RefSeq lists it as uncharacterized. NCBI's taxonomy places the organism in Eukaryota, Metazoa, Chordata, Aves, Passeriformes, Passeridae. The transcript is spliced from 2 exons. The record is from RefSeq and is a predicted model, not a curated record.